RNAcentral lists this ribosomal RNA (482 nucleotides) under uncultured bacterium. RNAcentral describes it as "bacterial SSU rRNA". It matches the Rfam family "Bacterial small subunit ribosomal RNA", at positions 28 to 526 of the family's 1533-position model. The record is from RNAcentral.
GACGAACGCUGGCGGCGUGCUUAACACAUGCAAGUCGAACGGAAAGGCCCUUCGGGGUACUCGAGUGGCGAACGGGUGAGUAACACGUGGGUGAUCUGCCCUGCACUUCGGGAUAAGCCUGGGAAACUGGGUCUAAUACCGGAUACACCUCAUGGACUGCAUGGUCUGUGGGGGAAAGCUUUUGCGGUGUGGGAUGGGCCCGCGGCCUAUCAGCUUGUUGGUGGGGUGAUGGCCUACCAAGGCGACGACGGGUAGCCGGCCUGAGAGGGUGACCGGCCACACUGGGACUGAGAUACGGCCCAGACUCCUACGGGAGGCAGCAGUGGGGAAUAUUGCACAAUGGGCGCAAGCCUGAUGCAGCGACGCCGCGUGGGGGAUGACGGCCUUCGGGUUGUAAACCCCUUUCAGCACAGACGAAGCGCAAGUGACGGUAUGUGCAGAAGAAGGACCGGCCAACUACGUGCCAGCCGCCGCCGUAACAC